CAGCAGCCACGGUAACACGUAGGGUGCGAGCAUUAAUCGGAAUUACUGGGCGUAAAGCGUGCGCAGGCGGUUCGUUAAGACAGAUGUGAAAUCCCCGGGCUUAACCUGGGAACUGCAUUUGUGACUGGCGAGCUAGAGUAUGGCAGAGGGGGGUAGAAUUCCACGUGUAGCAGUGAAAUGCGUAGAGAUGUGGAGGAAUACCGAUGGCGAAGGCAGCCCUCUGGGCCAAUACUGACGCUCAUGCACGAAAGCGUGGGGAGCAAACAGGAUUAGAUACCCCUGUAGUCCCUGUCUCUUAUAC
This 301-nucleotide ribosomal RNA is filed under the name uncultured bacterium. RNAcentral describes it as "partial 16S ribosomal RNA". It matches the Rfam family "Bacterial small subunit ribosomal RNA", at positions 509 to 807 of the family's 1533-position model. The record is from RNAcentral.